This is a non-coding RNA of Pelodiscus sinensis (Chinese soft-shelled turtle), 415 nucleotides long. Lineage: Eukaryota; Metazoa; Chordata; Testudines; Trionychidae. The record is from RefSeq and is a predicted model, not a curated record.
CAACCAUGGAGAGGGGAUACGGAUGCUGGGCUGGCUCAAAAUGCUUAAAAUUCUGCCGUAGGCGGCUUGGAGAACAGGUGGUAGCGAAGAGGAUGAAGCUCGCGCCGCCUGUCUCUGAGGUCCACUUCUCGGGGGGGAAUUACGUGAAGAUUUCCCCUGCACAAGAGCAGAAAAUGGGAGAAUCCAAAUGUCUCCUGGGAGCUGAAAGUAAUCAGUCCAAUGCAUCCCUCAUCUGCGUAGCAUAAUACUUGGAAGCAGCUGCAGUGCUUGCCUCAGAGUCGGGUCAAUCGCCUGUCACAUUGCAGUGUGAGGUGUUCGAGUGCUGAUUCCAGUUCACGUUCUAUGUUUUUCUGUUCCACGACUCUCAUUUCCAGCUCUGCAGUUUGCAGCUGUAAUUUACGUUCUGCCUCACGUA